GUACAUAGUUACAUAUUCUAGUUGUAAGUCCUUCUUUUUCUUCUAAGUGAGCUACUGCCACAGCAUGGUUCCUGACAGACAAGUGGUGUGGUUCCACAACCAGGAACCAACUCCCAGGCUGCCGAGGUGGAGUGCACUGAACUUUAACCACUAGGUCAUCAGGGCUGGUUCUCCAUUAUGAAAAGUCCAGGCCAGCUCCUGCCCAACCCAGUGGAAUGAAGCUGGCGGUUCCAGUCACCUUCCUAAAAGCCUGCCUAAGGCUGCUCCCCAGGAAGGUCCUUCCUUUAGAAUGACGUCUUACUUCUCUAAGCCCCAAACAGAUAAUGGGUGAAUGAGUUUCUUCACUCGCUUUCAUAAGAGGUAGUGUGGAUGAUAAUCAUUACAAAAACAAUAAUGAAUUUCUAGCCUGCUGUCUUCACUCUUCACCAGAUGAAAAAAACCAAGCAACUUCUCCUGGCAUUCUCUUCUAUCACCAGCCUUGAUGAGGAAGCAGCUCAGGUUGAGAGAAAUAAGGCCUUCGAGUGGGUGGAGUCACUCAACUGUUAGACAGAUAGCCCAGAGGCACCACAGCUCUUCCCCAGGAACACAUGUGAGUCAGACCCUAUCCCAAGCCACUUCCUCUUCCAAGCAUGGCG
This 635-nucleotide long non-coding RNA is filed under the name Equus caballus (horse). RNAcentral's name for it is "lncRNA (ENSECAG00000055488.1)". Lineage: Eukaryota; Metazoa; Chordata; Mammalia; Perissodactyla; Equidae. The record is from RNAcentral.